This 566-nucleotide ribosomal RNA is filed under the name uncultured beta proteobacterium. RNAcentral's name for it is "bacterial SSU rRNA". It matches the Rfam family "Bacterial small subunit ribosomal RNA", at positions 162 to 720 of the family's 1533-position model. Lineage: Bacteria; Pseudomonadati; Pseudomonadota; Betaproteobacteria. The record is from RNAcentral.
GCUAAUACCGCAUAAGAUCUCAAGACGAAAGCAGGGGACCGCAAGGCCUUGCGCGAUCAGAGCGGCCGAGAGCAGAUUAGGUAGUAGGUGGGAUAAAAGCUUACCAAGCCGACGAUCCGUAGCUGGUCUGAGAGGAUGACCAGCCACACUGGGACUGAGACACGGUCCAGACUCCUACGGGAGGCAGCAGUGGGGAAUAUUGGACAAUGGGCGCAAGCCUGAUCCAGCCAUGCCGCGUGCAGGAAGAAGGCCUUCGGGUUGUAAAGUGCUUUUAUACGGGGAGGAAGAGAACUUAUGGUUAAUACCUGGGGUCCAUGACGGUAUCGUCAGAAUAAGCACCGGCUAACUACGUGCCAGCAGCCGCGGUAAUACGUAGGGUGCAAGCGUUAAUCGGAAUUACUGGGCGUAAAGCGCGCGCAGGCGGUUAUAUAAGUCAGAUGUGAAAUCCCCGGGCUCAACCUGGGAACUGCAUUUGAGACUGUAUAGCUAGAGUAUGGCAGAGGGGGAUGGAAUUCCGCGUGUAGCAGUGAAAUGCGUAGAUAUGUGGAGGAACACCGAUGGCGAAG